UACCUGGCGGCGUGCCUACACAUGCAAGUCGAACGGAGUUGUUCCGCCGAUGAAGCUUCGGCCAAAUCAUGGAACAACUUAGUGGCGGACGGGUGAGUAACGCGUGGAUAACCUGCCCUGUACUGGGGGAUAGCAGCUGGAAACGGCUGGUAAUACCGCAUAAGCGCACGGUACUGCAUAGUAUAGUGUGAAAAACUCCGGUGGUACAGGAUGGGUCCGCGUCCGAUUAGCCAGUUGGCGGGGUAAAGGCCCACCAAAGCGACGAUCGGUAGCCGGCCUGAGAGGGCGGACGGCCACAUUGGGACUGAGACACGGCCCAGACUCCUACGGGAGGCAGCAGUGGGGGAUAUUGCACAAUGGGGGAAACCCUGAUGCAGCGACGCCGCGUGGGUGAAGAAGUAUUUCGGUAUGUAAAGCCCUAUCAGCAGGGACGAUGAUGACGGUACCUGAGUAAGAAGCCCCGGCUAACUACGUGCCAGCAGCCGCGGUAAU
Molecule: ribosomal RNA, 492 nt
Filed under: uncultured bacterium
Lineage: Bacteria
Description: bacterial SSU rRNA
Rfam family: Bacterial small subunit ribosomal RNA
Source: RNAcentral